This 2922-nucleotide long non-coding RNA is filed under the name Xyrichtys novacula (pearly razorfish). Lineage: Eukaryota; Metazoa; Chordata; Actinopteri; Labriformes; Labridae. The record is from RNAcentral.
CCAGCUCCGGCUGGUUAGCGUUGUGUAGAAGGUACACACAGUGCUGUGCAAGUUCAAACAACAUAAUUAAUUAGGCUAAUAUUAAUAUUAUCAAUGCCACAUAAAUUCAAUUCUCUCCGCCCUAAUCACAACUGGAUAGCUUGUAAAAAUUAUUUUGUUAGGCCCUGAUGCAAACAGAGGGUCUUUUCCAAACAUUUGAAAACUAUUUGUUUUUGUGGUGAUUAAUGUGUGUGGCGCAGGAAGGGGUUGGGGGAGCGGAGCCGGGCCAGCGAUGAUAACUGGUGUGGAGACGGAGGCAGAGGCGAGGCCUGGCCCCAGGGACUCCCAGCACAGGCGCAUGGAGGAGGGGGAGGGAUGUGUUUUUUGGGGCGGCUGUUUGAGCAGGUGGAGGGGAUUAGUAAUACUGUCAACACUGGAGAGCUGGAUAAGACUGUCCUCUCAUACUCGUGGGUUUCAGCAUCUCUCGCAUACACAUUCAGACACAUAAAGACAGAAACACAUACAAACGCUGGAGUCACAUACAGGAGAAGGGAACUUAUCUGACCAGGGGAAGUUGGUCACAUCCUCCUCUAGCUCAACUUUUUGCACAGGCAUUUCCCAACAUCUGAAUAUCCCUCCAUUAGCACAUUCAGUGUAUUUCCACAGAUAUUUGGUCACAUUUUUAAUAUGAUAUUUAUUUCCCAUGAAUCACCUUUUAGAAGACCUCUGUGUCUGCAUCUCUAGAAUGAAACUCCAGGGAGAUGCCCAUUCUUCUUGUCUCAGAUUUUUCUGUUAAAUUUUUGACAUUUCUGACACAUUUUCACGUGUCAAUUUAGAGCUCUUGUAAUCUAUUCUUCGAUCCAUGUCCUAAGUCUUAUAUAAACAUGCGCCUCCAUGCUCAAUCUCAGUCAUAUUUCAAAUUUCUGUCUCUGACCACAGACACCUCCAUUUGUUGCAUCUCUUUGUCCCCUCUGCCAGAUCAAGGACCACACUUUCCUGUAUUUCCACUCUAUCUACACACCCAGUUAGUCCCCCCAACAUCCCUAUAAAUCCUUGCUCUCGGCACAUUGCAGCCACCCCAACAACUAGGCCGGCCCUCCCUCUGCCUCCUGGAGCACUGACAAUAAAGCAUUACAGCAGUCAAUCCAUGUCAACAACAGCUUUGCUUAAUUCCUGCUAAACACGUUUAAACUAAAUCUUCACCUAAUGAUGCAUAAUGAUUUGCUCUUUAGUGCGGCUAGCGGCUCGUAUCAAUUUCGUUGGUUUAAUUUAGCAGCAAUCAGAGGGAUGACUCAGGUGGUCUGACUGUAGUCAACACACAGGGACGGUAUUAAGGAUCCCCCUGGUUUAAAUUAGUCAGGUAAUUGUGAAGAGACACACUGCGGAGCAUGCUGAACAUGUCUGGGUUUUAUUUGCAGGUAAGUGUAAUUUCAGUCUAUAUUUUCAUCCUGAAGAAAGCUCUGUGUUUAUAGAACAUUACAGGGAUGUGAAAUGUGUGAAAUAUUUAACAAAAAAAAGAAAAAACAGGAAAACUGUACAUCAGCAUCUACACUGAGGAAAUGCCACUGUGCAGUUUAGUUGGAUUGAAGUAUAAACCUUGAAAGCACUUUGCUGUCCUUAUUAAAAUCUAUUCUUUCAGAUGUCUCUGUGAAAAGACCCUCAUACUGCAGGCACUCAUCCAGGCCCUCUGAUGUGCUGCAGAUGUUGCCCUGGCCUUGACCUCCUGCCCAUUCAGUGCCGGGGCCAGAAUGGCACAGGUGCCUCCCCACCUUCAGUCUUGGGCAGACGGGAGCUGCACUGUGCAGGAUAUAAACGCUGCCAACUCUGCACCUUUGCUCACUUUUCUCAUCAUCAUCAGCAACAUGUAGCCUUGUUGCUUAAAGAAACCCUCCCUGGAUUCCUCUUGAUGAUGCUAAGCUAGCGGGCUUCUCCUUCCCCCCCUCCUCCCCCUUCCUCUUGCUCCUCUUCUCCUAUAAAAGCACUAUUAAUUCUCUGCCAUAGUGGAGUGUUUUCCAGUGCUAUUUCCUGGCUUGGUGCCUGUGCCUCGCGCUCUCUUGGCUGGGUUUGUCUGGUUGACUGCUCCACAGGAACAGACUGGCACUCUAGCUGAGGGCUCCGGGGUCUGCACACACAAUCCACUAAACAUGUCUCUGUGUGAGGAGCUGUACUGCGUCCUAAAUUUAAAGUAAGAAUUAUUACUUAUCACAAAUUGAGUGAAUAUUUCAGAUCAUUUUUCUAAGUUUUACCUUUUUUUUUUAAAUAAUUGGAGUCUAUGACUGUCAUUAUUGAUAUAACAGUGGCUGAAGUUGCAGGUCUACACUAGUAUUAUCCCUUCUUUUAAACUGUGAAAUGUGUCCUAUUUGUGGAGGACUUUAUCCGCAUGUGCAUACAACUGGCUGUAAAAUUGGAAGAUGUACAAAUAAACAUAAAAAAGUGCAUACGGUGUACACUACAUAUUAAAAUCCCUCAGUGACAGUAAGAAGAACAAAUUGAUUGUGAUGGUAAAGGGACUUCAGUGCUCAACACAUUCACUCCCAGUGCAAACAAACAUCUGUUACGUUUGUAAGGCCUUUGGCCCUGCUAACCCACUGAUGUUGAACCAAGCCUGCACACAUGCCAGAGACACAAAUGAGGUCUCUCUCUCCUCCACUGAAGAUGAAACACUGCAUCACCAAAGCAUGUGCGUUUGUCUAAUCAAGCUUUUAGCCCGUGGGUACACUGCAUGUAAAUGAAUAGGCCUGUGUGUGCCAGCCUCUAUUUCUGCUCAUUCUGGCUCCUGUUUGAUGAUGAAAUGGUGCAGGAGACAUGAGACAGAAGGGGGCACUAGUGCUCCAGUGUUGCUCUCCUCCCCUGUGGAGCCCUCUUCUUCCUCAGAGCUCCUCACAAUGGGGAUCUGCCUGAGGGGGGAAAUGUUGCUUUUUUAGGUCUGUGAGCCCAUAUCCC